AGUGAACGCUGGCGGUAGGCCUAACACAUGCAAGUCGAACGGCAGCACAGUAAGAGCUUGCUCUUACGGGUGGCGAGUGGCGGACGGGUGAGGAAUACAUCGGAAUCUACUUUUUCGUGGGGGAUAACGUAGGGAAACUUACGCUAAUACCGCAUAUGACCUACGGGUGAAAGCAGGGGAUCUUCUGACCUUGCGCGAUUGAAUGCGCCGAUGUCGGAUUAGCUAGUUGGCGGGGUAAAGGCCCACCAAGGCGACGAUCCGUAGCCGGUCUGAGAGGAUGAUCAGCCACACUGGAGCUGAGACACGGUCCAGACUCCUACGAGAGGCAGCAGUGGGGAAUAGUGGACAAUGGGCGCAAGCCUGAUCCAGCCAUACCGCGUGGGUGAAGAAGGCCUUCGGGUUGUAAAGCCCUUUUGUUGGGAGAGAAAAGCAGCAGGUUAAUACCCCGCUGUUCUGACGGUACCCAAAGAAUAAGCACCGGCUAACUUCGUG
RNAcentral lists this ribosomal RNA (492 nucleotides) under uncultured bacterium. RNAcentral describes it as "partial 16S ribosomal RNA". It matches the Rfam family "Bacterial small subunit ribosomal RNA", at positions 29 to 507 of the family's 1533-position model. The record is from RNAcentral.